Molecule: long non-coding RNA, 303 nt
Organism: Zerene cesonia (dogface butterfly)
Lineage: Eukaryota; Metazoa; Arthropoda; Insecta; Lepidoptera; Pieridae
Exons: 2
Source: RefSeq, a predicted model, not a curated record
GACUUGACACUUGUCACUUGUGACUUGACGUUUCGGACAAAAACUUUAAACUUAUAAAAUUCUGUUUUAAUCCAGAAGAGGUUAAAUAAGUCCUGAAAUAUAUAAUUAAGAAGCUAUUUAAUAUAAUCAUAUCGACCAAAAAUGUCAGUAACAAAAUCCAACAAGAAAUUUAAAUGGGCUUUAGAUUUCAAUCAAAAGCCUCGAUCCCAAGCAACAGAAUUGCCGUCUCCCCCAGGUUUCAGUCAAUCGACAAGCGCAAACUACGCAGAAUCGUCGAAAGAUUCAGAUUCAAACCUUCUUCUU